UUUUUGGCGGGCGUGCUUAACCAUGCAAGUCGAACGGUGAAGCAGAGCUUGCUCUGUGGAUCAGUGGCGAACGGGUGAGUAACACGUGAGCAAUCUGCCCCGGACUCUGGGAUAACAGUUGGAAACAGCUGCUAAUACCGGAUACGAGCUAGGAAGGCAUCUUCACUAGCUGGAAAGAAUUUCGGUCUGGGAUGAGCUCGCGGCCUAUCAGCUUGUUGGUGAGGUAAUGGCUCACCAAGGCGUCGACGGGUAGCCGGCCUGAGAGGGUGACCGGCCACACUGGGACUGAGACACGGCCCAGACUCCUACGGGAGGCAGCAGUGGGGAAUAUUGCACAAUGGGCGAAAGCCUGAUGCAGCAACGCCGCGUGAGGGAUGACGGCCUUCGGGUUGUAAACCUCUUUUAGCAGGGAAGAAGCGAGAGUGACGGUACCUGCAGAAAAAGCGCCGGCUAACUACGUGCCAGCAGCCGCGGUAAUACGUAGGGCGCAAGCGUUAUCCGGAAUUAUUGGGCGUAAAGAGCUCGUAGGCGGUUUGUCGCGUCUGCUGUGAAAUCCCGAGGCUCAACCUCGGGCCUGCAGUGGGUACGGGCAGACUAGAGUGCGGUAGGGGAGAUUGGAAUUCCUGGUGUAGCGGUGGAAUGCGCAGAUAUCAGGAGGAACACCGAUGGCGAAGGCAGAUCUCUGGGCCGUAACUGACGCUGAGGAGCGAAAGGGUGGGGAGCAAACAGGCUUAGAUACCCUGGUAGUCCACCCCGUAAACGUUGGGAACUAGUUGUGGGGUCCAUUCCACGGAUUCCGUGACGCAGCUAACGCAUUAAGUUCCCCGCCUGGGGAGUACGGCCGCAAGGCUAAAACUCAAAGGAAUUGACGGGGACCCGCACAAGCGGCGGAGCAUGCGGAUUAAUUCGAUGCAACGCGAAGAACCUUACCAAGGCUUGACAUACACGAGAACACCGUAGAAAUACGGGACUCUUUGGACACUCGUGAACAGGUGGUGCAUGGUUGUCGUCAGCUCGUGUCGUGAGAUGUUGGGUUAAGUCCCGCAACGAGCGCAACCCUCGUUCUAUGUUGCCAGCACGUAAUGGUGGGAACUCAUGGGAUACUGCCGGGGUCAACUCGGAGGAAGGUGGGGAUGACGUCAAAUCAUCAUGCCCCUUAUGUCUUGGGCUUCACGCAUGCUACAAUGGCCGGUACAAAGGGCUGCAAUACCGCGAGGUGGAGCGAAUCCCAAAAAGCCGGUCCCAGUUCGGAUUGAGGUCUGCAACUCGACCUCAUGAAGUCGGAGUCGCUAGUAAUCGCAGAUCAGCAACGCUGCGGUGAAUACGUUCCCGGGUCUUGUACACACCGCCCGUCAAGUCAUGAAAGUCGGUAACACCUGAAGCCGGUGGCCUAACCCUUGUGGAGGGAGCCGUCGAAAGGUGGAUUCCAGGC
Molecule: ribosomal RNA, 1432 nt
Filed under: bacterium
Lineage: Bacteria
Description: bacterial SSU rRNA
Rfam family: Bacterial small subunit ribosomal RNA
Source: RNAcentral